AGUGAACGCUGGCGGUAGGCCUAACACAUGCAAGUCGAACGGCAGCACAGUAAGAGCUUGCUCUUACGGGUGGCGAGUGGCGGACGGGUGAGGAAUACAUCGGAAUCUACUUUUUCGUGGGGGAUAACGUAGGGAAACUUACGCUAAUACCGCAUACGACCUACGGGUGAAAGCAGGGGAUCUUCGGACCUUGCGCGAUUGAAUGAGCCGAUGUCGGGUUAGCUAGUUGGCGGGGUAAAGGCCCACCAAGGCGACGAUCCGUAGCUGGUCUGAGAGGAUGAUCAGCCACACUGGAACUGAGACACGGUUCAGACUCCUACGGGAGGCAGCAGUGGGGAAUAUUGGACAAUGGGCGCAAGCCUGAUCCAGCCAUACCGCGUGGGUGAAGAAGGCCUUCGGGUUGUAAAGCCCUUUUGUUGGGAAAGAAAAGCAGCAGGUUAAUACCCCGCUGUUCUGACGGUACCCAAAGAAUAAGCACCGGCUAACUUCGUG
Molecule: ribosomal RNA, 492 nt
Filed under: uncultured bacterium
Lineage: Bacteria
Description: partial 16S ribosomal RNA
Rfam family: Bacterial small subunit ribosomal RNA
Source: RNAcentral